This 708-nucleotide ribosomal RNA is filed under the name uncultured bacterium. RNAcentral describes it as "bacterial SSU rRNA". It matches the Rfam family "Bacterial small subunit ribosomal RNA", at positions 71 to 774 of the family's 1533-position model. The record is from RNAcentral.
AGAGAGAAGCUUGCUUCUCUUGAGAGCGGCGGACGGGUGAGUAAUGCCUAGGAAUCUGCCUGGUAGUGGGGGAUAACGUUCGGAAACGGACGCUAAUACCGCAUACGUCCUACGGGAGAAAGCAGGGGACCUUCGGGCCUUGCGCUAUCAGAUGAGCCUAGGUCGGAUUAGCUAGUUGGUGGGGUAAUGGCUCACCAAGGCGACGAUCCGUAACUGGUCUGAGAGGAUGAUCAGUCACACUGGAACUGAGACACGGUCCAGACUCCUACGGGUGGCAGCAGUGGGGAAUAUUGGACAAUGGGCGAAAGCCUGAUCCAGCCAUGCCGCGUGUGUGAAGAAGGUCUUCGGAUUGUAAAGCACUUUAAGUUGGGAGGAAGGGCAGUUACCUAAUACGUAAUUGUUUUGACGUUACCGACAGAAUAAGCACCGGCUAACUCUGUGCCAGCAGCCGCGGUAAUACAGAGGGUGCAAGCGUUAAUCGGAAUUACUGGGCGUAAAGCGCGCGUAGGUGGUUUGUUAAGUUGGAUGUGAAAUCCCCGGGCUCAACCUGGGAACUGCAUUCAAAACUGACUGACUAGAGUAUGGUAGAGGGUGGCGGAAUUUCCUGUGUAGCGGUGAAAUGCGUAGAUAUAGGAAGGAACACCAGUGGCGAAGGCGACCACCUGGACUAAUACUGACACUGAGGUGCGAAAGCGUGGGGAGCAAACA